This 497-nucleotide ribosomal RNA is filed under the name uncultured bacterium. Its description in RNAcentral is "partial 16S ribosomal RNA". It matches the Rfam family "Bacterial small subunit ribosomal RNA", at positions 28 to 507 of the family's 1533-position model. The record is from RNAcentral.
GAUGAACGCUGGCGGCGUGCCUAAUACAUGCAAGUCGAGCGAACAGACGAGGAGCUUGCUCCUCUGACGUUAGCGGCGGACGGGUGAGUAACACGUGGAUAACCUACCUAUAAGACUGGGAUAACUUCGGGAAACCGGAGCUAAUACCGGAUAAUAUAUUUAACCGCAUGGUUCAAUAGUGAAAGACGGUUUUGCUGUCACUUAUAGAUGUAUCCGCGCCGCAUUAGCUAGUUGGUAAGGUAACGGCUUACCAAGGCAACGAUGCUUAGCCGACCUGAGAGGGUGAUCGGCAACACUGGAACGGGGACACGGUCCAGACUCCGACGGGAGGCAGCAGUAGGGAAUCUUCCGCAAUGGGCGAAAGCCUAACGGAGCAACGCCGCGUGAGUGAGGAAGGUCUUCGGAUCGUAAAACUCUGUUAUUAGGGAAGAACAAAUGUGUAAGUAACUAUGCACGUCUUGACGGUACCUAAUCAGAAAGCCACGGCUAACUACGUG